RNAcentral lists this transfer RNA (57 nucleotides) under Dipodomys ordii (Ord's kangaroo rat). It matches the Rfam family "tRNA", at positions 8 to 63 of the family's 71-position model. Rfam says of the family: Transfer RNA (tRNA) molecules are approximately 80 nucleotides in length. Their secondary structure includes four short double-helical elements and three loops (D, anti-codon, and T loops). The record is from Rfam by way of RNAcentral. Lineage: Eukaryota; Metazoa; Chordata; Mammalia; Rodentia; Heteromyidae.
UGGCUCAGUGGUAGAGCACUUGCCUUGCAUGCAUGAGGCCCUGGGUUCGAUCCUCAG